Molecule: long non-coding RNA, 783 nt
Organism: Lucilia cuprina (Australian sheep blowfly)
Lineage: Eukaryota; Metazoa; Arthropoda; Insecta; Diptera; Calliphoridae
Exons: 3
Source: RefSeq, a predicted model, not a curated record
AAGAUUCUUACGAUAAAAACCUUUUUUGGGAUUUUAGUUGGACUGUUAACUGGACUUUGAAAGUUGUUCAGUUAAACCCAUACCAAAAACUUUCCUAGCUUAAGUAUUGAACAUCACGAUAUGAGUUGAAAUUCGUGUUUAAAAGUUUUAAUAAGCGGACCUCGGCAAACCUUGAAUACUUUUUUGUAGCACCUACAUUAAUACGCAACACGGGACAUCCUAAUGUACAUAUAUGAAGGAGAUAUAAAUACCGCACUUCUUGCCAGAGACCUGCGACGGUUCGGCUUAAUGAUGACUAGAACUAGCCGCCGUGAAAAUUUCAAAGCUGCCGCCGUUAAAUUUUCUGCCUUAGACGCAAGGCGAAUUUACAUAAGGUGGUGGUAGUUCGACAGCGAAACAUUUUUCAUGUAGUUGGUACCCAAUUAAAAAAAUAAUUGGGAAUUCAUUUAAUUUAAUUAUUCCUGUAUGGAAUAAUUAAUUAAUUAUUCCUGUUUGUUAUAAAUGAAAAAUUUUACCGUCGUCUGGAUUUUGUUAUCAUAAAAUGUAACGGAACAGAAUUUUAGUAGAAAAUCAUGUUUAGAGUUUAUAUUAUAUACAUUUAAUAGAUUUAAAUUUUUUUCUAUAAUAUGGAAAACAACUGCUGGGUUACUUAAUAUAAGGUGUUCCGUAACAGAAUUUUAUUAGUUAGUCACAUUAUGUUUAAAUUGUUAACAUUUAAUAAAAAGAAAAUAUAUUUUUCUAAUACAUAAUUUACUUAUACGUACAAUUAUGUCACUAGUUGUA